CUGAAUACAACAGGUCUAGUAGACCUUACAGUGAAAUGCUGAAUACAACAGGUGUAGUAGACCUCACAGUGAAAUGCUGAAUACAACAGGUCUAGUAGACCUUACAGUGAAAUGCUGAAUACAACAGGUGUAGUAGACCUCACAGUGAAAUGCUACGGUACAGAGUCAAUGUGGAGGCUAUAUACAGGGUAUUAAGGUACAGAGUCAAUGUGGAGGCUAUAUACAGGGGGUUACGGUACAGAGUCAAUGUGGAGGCUAUAUACAGGGGGUACCAGUACAGAGUCAAUGUGGAGGCUAUAUACAGGGGGUACCGGUACAGAGUCAAUAUGGAGGCUAUAUACAGGGGG
Molecule: long non-coding RNA, 347 nt
Organism: Oncorhynchus tshawytscha (Chinook salmon)
Lineage: Eukaryota; Metazoa; Chordata; Actinopteri; Salmoniformes; Salmonidae
Source: Ensembl